This 240-nucleotide unclassified non-coding RNA is filed under the name soil metagenome. RNAcentral describes it as "partial contains 5.8S ribosomal RNA, internal transcribed spacer 2, and large subunit ribosomal RNA". The record is from RNAcentral.
AACACUGUUAACCUGCGGUACCUGCGGAAGGAUCAUUAUAGUAUAUGGAAUCUCCAUUCUAUAAACCCACUCUGCGUAUCUUGUAACUGUUGCUUCCAUGGGACUUGGUUCCGCCACACCGGCUUCACGGCUGGCGAGCGCCCAUGGAAGGAGAAACAAAACUCUUCUUUGAAAUGUAGUCAGUCUGAACAAGUUUUUAUAAACGUUAAAACUUUCAGCAACGGAUCUCAGAUCGGAAGA